UUGAAACGGUGUUCGCCGUAGUGUGGGUGAACAAUUCGCCGUGAAGUCAGAAUGUUUGACGUUUCCGACUGGCGGUAGUAGAGCAGAAAAUGUAAUGGAUUUAGUAAUUGGGCUGUGUUUGGCGGAUGACGGGUUUGAUUGGAGGCUGUCGGGGUGACCGUUAUUAGGUUCAUCAUUUGCGAUGUGAGAAGUAUGGGAAUGGCUGCCGAAAAAGAAGAAUAUUAUAUUUCAAGCUUUAAUAUCUUUUGUCGGCGCGAUCAGCCUUCAAAUCUUGCUGUUUGAAUCCCAUGAAGAUUGUGAAACUGUAGCACAAUCUAUCGGUGUGGAUGCCCUAUAAUCCAAGUAGUGAACAGGAAACACUAAUUCGAGGCAUAUGAUGUUCUCAGCAAUAUGACUAUUAUGUAAACCCUCUCUUCCUUCGAACAACAUGAAUUUGAUCUUGCCACUUUCGUUGACAAUGUGGCUUAUAUCAGCAUGCCUUCCGUUUCGAUCAAACCGGUUAAUGCGGAGAUUAAAUAUGGACUCAAACCUCUUUUUCGGACCUUUGAGAAACCUCCAGGCUUGGGGAGAAUCGAUCCUUCCCCGUACCCUCUCGUAAUGGCCGCGUAUGCUUCACGAAGGACUAAACAGGAAAUAUAAAUUCGCGUGAAAAUUGAAAAAUAUUUUGCAAAGUUGCAUUAUUAUCCUUAUUCAAUUUGAUAGGCCUCAAUUGGCUGAAAGAGGAAAGCUUGGCUUAACAUUUUUUCGGAGCCCAUGCUCUUGUCAGGAUUAUGUAUUGAAUCGAAAGUGUCAUCAGUUUGCCUGGGUCAAGUAUAGCCUUUUAAGGAGUUAUCCUACAAAAAGGAAAUUAUCCGUCAGUCCGAGUUUGGCUCCUAAAUCACGUCUCACAGGAUAGUCUAAAUCACCGACCUAAAUAAGUAAUUUACAUUCUUGAAAGCAAAAAGAAGAAAAAUUUCACCAGAAAGUAUUAUUUCGAUAAAUCAAAGGUUCUACCAGAAACUGAUAUGAAUCCUGCUGACAUCAAAGAUGUCUCCGAAUAUAUGUAACAUUUUCGCAACAUCGCAAGGCGUUGCCCUUGGAAAUGGAGGCCUACAAUAUUUACAAGUCUACAAGCACCCAAGUGAAAGGCUGAUAGCAUGCACACGCAGCUCAAUUGCAGAAGACAA
This is a long non-coding RNA of Hermetia illucens (black soldier fly), 1166 nucleotides long. RefSeq lists it as uncharacterized. Lineage: Eukaryota; Metazoa; Arthropoda; Insecta; Diptera; Stratiomyidae. The transcript is spliced from 3 exons. The record is from RefSeq and is a predicted model, not a curated record.